AUUUCUAUGCUUCUCUCCACACGGAGGAGACAGGAGCAGCAGAGGCAGAGAGAAGCCCCGCCCACAGCAUGUCCGGACAUAAACUCCAGCCUGUGCAGCCCUUACUCUAAUGAUAAACAUCAUUAUAACUGCCACCACCAGCACAAAGUCUAACUCCAGCUCAGUCAGCGCCAUCUUCACUCCUCUGUCUAUAACCCUCAAAGGACUCAGUCAGCCGGUCAGCCUGUAGAUACCCUAGACAGGAGGCCAUCAAAUGGUGACCGGCUGCCAUGGUUACCAUCGGGACCCUGUAGAGCAUACCAGCUGCAAGGAUGGACCCAUAUAUCCUGGGAAAAUAAGGGGUUAAAGAGGUAGGUCUAUCAUAAAUCCACAUGUUAUAACAAGGAUGUCUGAACUUGUAUCUCUGGAUGGCUAAGUUUCCACUGGAAUUUUUUUGGAUGUUUUGCCCCAAAAAAUGCCCAAUCAUUUGCACAAUGUUUUUCCUUUGGAAAAACGCACUGGUCAGAGCCAGAUGCUAGCAGGGAGUU
Hyla sarda is the source of this 527-nucleotide long non-coding RNA. RefSeq lists it as uncharacterized. The record is from RefSeq and is a predicted model, not a curated record. Lineage: Eukaryota; Metazoa; Chordata; Amphibia; Anura; Hylidae. The transcript has 3 exons.